Molecule: long non-coding RNA, 624 nt
Filed under: Fukomys damarensis (Damara mole-rat)
Lineage: Eukaryota; Metazoa; Chordata; Mammalia; Rodentia; Bathyergidae
Description: lncRNA (ENSFDAG00000023964.1)
Source: RNAcentral
CACACAAGGAAAGUGGAAUUCUAUUAGUUAACAUGAUCUAUGAGGACUGGAAGGAUCCAGAGGAGACUGCGGUGGUAAUGCAGACUCCACUCUUCCUAUCACCCCUGUGCAGCCGACCUUCACCUCAGGAAGAGAUCAUUUGUGUGCUUUUACUGCUGUGCAUGGUUCAUGGGGAAGCAGGGCAUUAUGCAGGGUUCUUGGUUUUCACUGAUCCACUGAUUCAUAAAAAGUCUGGCCCUACGCUCCAUUUCUCAAUCAUUUUUUCCAAAUCGAAUCUACAGGCACUCCCAAGCCUCAAAAUGUGAGCUGCACUCAUCAUGCCCUCAUGAACUGAGACAGGUGAUAAUGCAGGAAAGACCUUGCAGUUCAACUGUCUGUUAAAUCUCUUUCUCUUCUGAGGACUCUGAAACUGCAUUAGGGGACAAGUAGUACACACAGUAGAAUCUUUGACACAAAUAGACACUCUUAUUCAACACCUGCAAAGGCCUUUUUCACACAUUUUCAGCCCCCAUGAAAUAAUCCUUGAGGAUGUGUUAAUCAUUUCUGUUUCGACUCAGCCAUUAAAGUACUAUUCUUAUGUAUACAUACCCUAAAUAUGUUGCUCCCUCUCUUUCUCCUCCAACU